CCAGGGGCUCUGGAAGUUGGGAGCCACAUGUGGAGUCCCUGGAGUGCCUGGAGCUCCCAAGGCAGCCACGUGUCCUCCCUGUCCACCAUCCAGGCCCCCUGUGGUUCAGCUCCCGCCAGUCGCCCAGUCCUGCCGCAGAAGUGGGGCGGCCUUGAUUAAGCAGCCAGUGAAGGGGAACGCCCCAGUUUGCAGUGGCUGAGUCAUCCUGACAUCUCCCUGGUGCUGGACCCCAUCGGGGGGCUGAGGGCGGGGUAGCGGGGCGCGGGUGGACACUGGAGAGCCCCUCUUGGGCAGGUCCUUCAACAUAUCAGUGUAGCUCCCAUGUUGUCAAAAAUAAUAACAAAAACAGAAUAGAGGUGGCAGCUACAUUCUAGGUGCCGUUCUGAAUCUGUGCUUACACACGUUAACUCAUUUCUUCCUCCUAACAAUCCCUCAAGGUGGGCACUGUUACUCUUCUCCAUAGACAGAUGAGGAAGACGGAAGCACAGAGAGGUUGAGCAACUUGCCCCAGGUCACACAGCCAACAAGUCGGCAGAGCCGGGAUUUGAACCCCAUGCAGCCUCAGUCCAGCAUCCUUGCUCUUAACCUCUGAGAAAAGGCAGUCAAGAGCCCUGGGGUGUGUGUGUGCGGGGGGUGUCUCUGUAGCGAUUCAGGUGGCCCCCGCAGCAGAUGGACUGCUGUCCAAACAAACAUCCCUGACAAUCGGGCAGAGCUCCUUCCAGGCGUUAGGAAUCCAGGUUGUGGCAGCCAACAGCUUGUGGGCUGUGUGAAGUGACCUCAGGCCAGUGAAGGCCCCUCCCUGUGCCUCAGUUUCCCUCUCUGCAAAAUAGGGCUCAGAUCACAGCAACUCCGCUGACAGGGGACGGCAGGUUGGAGGAGACAAGGAUGCUACUGACUUGCUUACUUAGCAGAGGGCCUGGCACGGGGCGCCAACUCUAAAUAGUCGGAGCAGCUGUUAUUAUCCCCCCGACAUCCCCUCAUUUGCUGAUCACGGGGGUUAAUUAUAAGCGGCAUUAAAUUAUACACACACAGACGCGCCAACCUCGCUUCCCCAGAACCCCUGAAUUUCCGCAAACUCUCAAUUACCCACGUGACAGCGCGACGAUGGGCCAUCCUCCCAGCCUCUCUCCCCACAGCCUGCCUCAUCCGAGGGUCCCAGGCUUCCAGAGCCAUGGCUUCUCCGCCCGCCGGAUACCCCUCUGGGUGUCCAGGAGCGGAAGGAAGGAUGCAUGCGACUGACUGCGGACGCGUUGAGAGCCAGGGGAGGCAUGUUUACCCACAGCAUCUCAUGUCAAGGCUCGCCGCGACGCAGACUGCGACUGUACUGAUCUUAGAGAUGAGAGAACACAGAGAGGUCAGGCAACCCGCCCUAGUUUGCACAGCUCAAGUGAGGAGGGUGGCUCAAGUCAGGGCUCUGACCUGGAACCCAGAGGGGUAACCUCAUUCUGUAAGUGAGGAAGCUCCUGCACGGAGAACUGAAAGGGAAGAGGGGAAGUCAUCCAGGAAGGAAGGAAGGCAGGCAGGCAGGUGAGAUCUGGGAGAAAAAGGGGAAUUUUCAGUUCUCCAGGUAGGGGGAACAGGAGACAGCUGGCCCUUCCUAUAAGGGGCUUAUGGCAAAGAUCAAAAACAACUUAAAAGGAGCAAGGCCACCCAGAUAACAUAAAGAGUACGAGAUGAAAUCUGUCCCCAUGAAACGGGACAUUUGUGAUCCAGCCCCAGUUACGGCGAUGGGGACCGGAGGAGGGAGUCCCCAUGAUCCAAAAAUCCAGGCUCUGAACCCCCAACCAGGGUGGGAUCCGCGGGAAUCAGAAGGAAACAGGAAGCCGCACAGAAACCUGGGUUUAUUUUCAGAUGUGGAAUAUCCCCUCGGCCUCUGCGGGGCGCAGAGGGUGCCUUGAUUCCGGGGAACAGAAGAGGGGAUUCCACGGCUAGCCCAGAAUAGCACCAGCCCCAAGGUCCAGUCUGGCCAGGCCACGAUGUUGGGGGACCGGCAGCUCCAUGGAGGAGGAGGAGGAGGAAAAAAAAAAAAGAGAGAGACAAAAAUAAAGCGAUGUGAAAGUGGAGGGCCUGUCCGUGAAUCACUCCUACCCGUUAAUUUUCGCCUUUGGAGAAGUGUAAGCCAAUUGAUUUUUCAAAUUCCCCACACACAACCCCCUCCCCAGCGCUUCUCAAAUAUCAGCCAGAGACAAGACAGAAAUGGUACGUCGGGUUUUUUUUUUUCUUCCCUUUUUGGUUGAGAGUCUUUUCUUUCCUUAAAGGAAAAGGGGGGGGGGCGGGGGGGAAACCACACACUCCACACUCUUGAACCUCAGGGUUAGAGAGACCCAGGUGUCACCUGUUUCCUAGACAUUUUGGGGCUGCCACUCUCUGCGUGAGACAACAGCCACCCUUUCCCUCGAUCACAUCCCCUACACUUCACUUCCUCUCUCCGUGUCCCCCUUCCUCAAUUCAGAAUGUCACCUGGUGAUAAGAUGACAUGCAUUUGAGCCUCAAUCCCCUUCCAGCAUCCCCUCUCCUCUGCCCCGCAAGCCACAAGCUGGCAGCUUUCCGAUUCCAGAGCAAGCUUGCCACACGAAUCCUGCGAGGAACAGCAGUUAUGUCUUAAUCUCCUCUCCUCCUGUCCCCACCGGAGGCUGAGCCACUCUGCCUGGGAAGGACGGAGGAAGGGCAACCUGCACAGGCUUUGCCCGAGAAGGGUUCUCAUCCUCCUUGCAAAUUCUAAGAGGACACCCACCCAUUGGAAGGGUUUUCCCUCCCGCUCGCCCCCAUCCCGAACUCUCUCCACGCCCCGCUUCUUCCCCCACGCACACGGCGGCUGCACCGUCACAGAAAGCAGGUGAACGCGGGGCCACGGGGCGCUCGGGUAGAAAUGCCACGUCGCACCACCAAGUCACACCGUCCCUGCCCGUCCCUCUCCGGCCAUCCCACUAACUAUUGUAUUGGGGCCAUGCAGCCGCUGGAAUAAUCAGCGAAGCCACAGGUCUCCCCAUCUUGGCAAGUGGAGGUGUGCGCUGCCCUCAGACAUCUGUGAACCGCUGUUCAACGCCAACCCCGAAGGCAGAAGGGGAAACCAAGUCACCUCCCAGAAAGACGUUUGAUGAGCAGAGAUAGAUUUGCCUCCAGACUGGUACCAGGUCUGGGGAAACCCAGGCAGAGCCCCAGGCUCUAUGCGACCCAAAGAAGAAAAAAAUGGGUGCACAGUGAUGGCUCCAGGUCUCCCCACCCAGAUGCUACCACGAAAUCCCUGGCAUCCACGAAGCUUCCCCCUGUUCCAUGGUGGAAAUUGGGGGAAAAUGGACUUGUGUCUCCAAGCAGGGUCCAUGGACACUGGACGAUGCCUGAAAUCCCCUGGGAGGCAGGGAAAAAAGGCGCACUGAACGCUCAACCGGGGUAUAAGGAGUGAUUUUUUUUUCUCUGCUGGCAGCAGGCAGGAACCUGGGGUUUGAAUGUCCCCUUCUCUGUCGCCACCUCACGCAGACUUCAGAGGCUCUCAAGGUUUCCUGGAGAGGGGGAAAUCGUCCCCGGAGCUGACCUGCCAACCAGUAGCACCCUCCAGCGCCUCAGCCGGGCCACGCCAAAAUGACCUGUCACCCAUCUCCCGCGGGGAGUGGGGAGCGGGCCAGUCCACCGCCUCUUGGGACGGCAUCUCUGGACGGCCACUGACAGUACCAGUCUCUGUCACCCCCUGGGGGGUUAGGGGCAAUGUCAUCGGCCAGGGUGGCAGAAAUAGAAAAGUGCGUGAGCUCACCAGGCAGCCUGGGUCUCCUGCGACGUUUUGUUUGCCUGAGCCCAAUUAGAACAACUCUCAGGAUGAUGGAGUAUGGCGGGCGGUGGCCCCCAGGGGGCUGGGAGGCCUAGCCCCCAUGCAGAAGUGCACCGUCAUGAUGAGGGUGUCCCCCGGGCCUGGGGAACAGGGCAGGACCCUGCUUCCCGGAGGGAAAUAAUGAAGACUCCGCCAGCCUGCCAGCCAGAAAGAGAUGCCCCACGGAAGGCUUUGUGGAGGGCAGCGGGGGGGUAGGGGAGGGAUGCCCAGGUGGGGACUCAGUCAGGCCCAAGCUGGGGGGCUGUGGGAUUUGAGGGCGGGAAGCAGCCGCCCCCAGCCCCAGCUGCCUGCCUUCCACCGCCAAAAUAUCAGCUGGCAAAGAAAGAAGAGCAGAGGGACAGAAGGCAGGCGCGAUUGGCAGGGGGAGGGGGGCACAAAGGAAGGGACCCUGGGAGGGGGAGGGGACUUAUGCAAAUGGCAGAUUCGACCAAGUCCCUGGGCCAUUAAUAAACGCUCCAGCAGCUGCCGCUGGUAUCGCAGGAGCAGAGGAGCGGGAUGGCUUCCUUCUCCCGGGCGAAAGGCGGCAGAAAGAGGGAAGAAGGGCGCCCCAGACAAAGAGGCGCCGUCACCCUCUGCACCCCAAGGACAGCAGCGAUAGGGGGCCACCCAGAGGAGGCCAGAAUCCCAGCAGCCAAAGUCCGGGUGGUGGCGGACGGGAGCCCGGAGCGUGUGGGUCCCUGUCCUUGGGACCCUAGGGGUCUCUUCCUGCCUCCUCCGGCUUCUAGGUAUCAUCCCUGCUGCUCAGCCG
This 4571-nucleotide long non-coding RNA is filed under the name Homo sapiens (human). RNAcentral describes it as "HSALNT0395876". Lineage: Eukaryota; Metazoa; Chordata; Mammalia; Primates; Hominidae. The record is from RNAcentral.